Molecule: ribosomal RNA, 1744 nt
Filed under: Proteus mirabilis
Lineage: Bacteria; Pseudomonadati; Pseudomonadota; Gammaproteobacteria; Enterobacterales; Morganellaceae
Description: partial 23S ribosomal RNA
Rfam family: Bacterial large subunit ribosomal RNA
Source: RNAcentral
GUUGGGUAGGGGAGCGUUCUGUAAGCCUGCGAAGGUGUACUGUGAGGUAUGCUGGAGGUAUCAGAAGUGCGAAUGCUGACAUAAGUAACGAUAAUGCGGGUGAAAAACCCGCACGCCGGAAGACCAAGGGUUCCUGUCCAACGUUAAUCGGGGCAGGGUGAGUCGACCCCUAAGGCGAGGCUGAAAAGCGUAGUCGAUGGGAAACGGGUUAAUAUUCCCGUACUGGUGGUAACUGCGAUGGGGGAACGGAGAAGGCUAGGUUGUCCGGGCGACGGUCGUCCCGGUUCAAGCAGGUAGGCAGAGUGAUUAGGCAAAUCCGGUCACUUAAUGCUGAGAUGUGAUGACGAACCACCAAGGUGGUGAAGCAAUUGAUGCCCCGCUUCCAGGAAAAGCCUCUAAGCUUCAGGUUACCAACAAUCGUACCCCAAACCGACACAGGUGGUCAGGUAGAGAAUACUCAGGCGCUUGAGAGAACUCGGGUGAAGGAACUAGGCAAAAUGGUGCCGUAACUUCGGGAGAAGGCACGCUGGCGGUAGGUAAAGUCCCUUGCGGACGGCGCUGAAGCCAGUCGAAGAUACCAGCUGGCUGCAACUGUUUAUUAAAAACACAGCACUGUGCAAACACGAAAGUGGACGUAUACGGUGUGACGCCUGCCCGGUGCUGGAAGGUUAAUUGAUGGGGUCAGCCGUAAGGCGAAGCUCCUGAUCGAAGCCCCAGUAAACGGCGGCCGUAACUAUAACGGUCCUAAGGUAGCGAAAUUCCUUGUCGGGUAAGUUCCGACCUGCACGAAUGGCGUAAUGAUGGCCAGGCUGUCUCCACCCGAGACUCAGUGAAAUUGAACUCGCUGUGAAGAUGCAGUGUACCCGCGGCAAGACGGAAAGACCCCGUGAACCUUUACUAUAGCUUGACACUGAACAUUGAGCCUUGAUGUGUAGGAUAGGUGGGAGGCUUUGAAGUGUGGACGCCAGUCUGCAUGGAGCCAACCUUGAAAUACCACCCUUUAACGUUUGAUGUUCUAACCUAGGCCCAUAAACUGGGUCGGGGACCGUGUCUGGUGGGUAGUUUGACUGGGGCGGUCUCCUCCUAAAGAGUAACGGAGGAGCACGAAGGUUGGCUAAGCAUGGUCGGACAUCAUGCGGUUAGUGCAAAGGCAUAAGCCAGCUUGACUGCGAGAGUGACGGCUCGAGCAGGUACGAAAGUAGGUCUUAGUGAUCCGGUGGUUCUGAAUGGAAGGGCCAUCGCUCAACGGAUAAAAGGUACUCCGGGGAUAACAGGCUGAUACCGCCCAAGAGUUCAUAUCGACGGCGGUGUUUGGCACCUCGAUGUCGGCUCAUCACAUCCUGGGGCUGAAGUAGGUCCCAAGGGUAUGGCUGUUCGCCAUUUAAAGUGGUACGCGAGCUGGGUUUAGAACGUCGUGAGACAGUUCGGUCCCUAUCUGCCGUGGGCGUUGGAAGAUUGAGAGGGGUUGCUCCUAGUACGAGAGGACCGGAGUGAACGCACCACUGGUGUUCGGGUUGUCAUGCCAAUGGCAUUGCCCGGUAGCUAAGUGCGGAAGAGAUAACCGCUGAAAGCAUCUAAGCGGGAAACUUGCCUCGAGAUGAGUCUUCCCUGUCACUUUAAGUGACCUAAAGGAACGUUUAAGACUAAGACGUUGAUAGGCUGGGUGUGUAAGCGUAGCGAUACGUUGAGCUAACCAGUACUAAUGAACCGUGAGGCUUAACCUGACAACACCGAAAGUGUUUUG